Molecule: long non-coding RNA, 540 nt
Organism: Vicia villosa (hairy vetch)
Lineage: Eukaryota; Viridiplantae; Streptophyta; Magnoliopsida; Fabales; Fabaceae
Exons: 3
Source: RefSeq, a predicted model, not a curated record
AUACUUAACUAAUAUUGAAUGAAUACCUAAACUAAAAUAAUUAGUUUCAAUGAAUGAAUAAAUAUAAUGACAACAGAGGGGGUAGAGUUCUUAGUAAUUAUAGGAGCUCUCUUACACCUCACACUGUUGAAGCUUUAAUUUGUGCACAAAAUUGGUUAAGAUCUUCACCUUUGUCAGUUGAUAUUGAGGAGCAUUUGGAAGAUUUAGAGAAGCUCGAAGAAGAAUUAGCUCCGAUUCCACAAUUGAAUGAGGGACUUUCUGAUAUUGAAUCUGAUUAGUAGAUGUGCUUCAAAAGGAAAUGAAAUGAUGGAGUCAUGGAGAUGGAGACAUUGUUACUUUGGUGUAAUAUGAUAUGUAGAUGGAGUCAUGGAGAUGGAGAUGGAGACAAUGUAAUUUUUUUUGGUAUUUUGAUAUAGACAAUGUUAGUGUUGGAGACAAUGUAAUUUCUUUUAGUAUUUUGAUAUAGACAGUGUUAGUGUUACAGUUACAGUGUAAUGUAAUUGAUAUAGUCUGAUACUUUGAUACUUCUUUUGGUAUUGA